This 429-nucleotide ribosomal RNA is filed under the name Acidobacteriota bacterium. RNAcentral's name for it is "Acidobacteria bacterium partial 16S ribosomal RNA". It matches the Rfam family "Bacterial small subunit ribosomal RNA", at positions 355 to 776 of the family's 1533-position model. The record is from RNAcentral. Lineage: Bacteria; Pseudomonadati; Acidobacteriota.
UGGGGAAUUUUGGACAAUGGGGGAAACCCUGAUCCAGCCAUCCCGCGUGUGCGAUGAAGGCCUUCGGGUUGUAAAGCACUUUUGGCAGGAAAGAAACGUCAUGGGUUAAUACCCCGUGAAACUGACGGUACCUGCAGAAUAAGCACCGGCUAACUACGUGCCAGCAGCCGCGGUAAUACGUAGGGUGCAAGCGUUAAUCGGAAUUACUGGGCGUAAAGCGUGCGCAGGCGGUUCGGAAAGAAAGAUGUGAAAUCCCAGAGCUCAACUUUGGAACUGCAUUUUUAACUACCGGGCUAGAGUGUGUCAGAGGGAGGUGGAAUUCCGCGUGUAGAAGUGAAAUGAGUAGAUAUGCGGAGGAACACCGAUGGCGAAGGCAGCCUCCUGGGAUAACACUGACGCUCAUGCACGAAAGCGUGGGGAGCAAACAGG